AUAAACUUUGAUUUGAUAGCACCUUCGGUUGUGCAUCAAGAAUUAUGCAUAGCAAGUUUGUAUGAAGGUCUGGUUAUUCACAGGCAAAUUGUUAUUUGCUAUGGAGGUACAUGUGUGUCUUUUUGUCGAGAGCAAAACUUUUUAUUUUCAAUCAAAAAUAAUUGUUCUGAAAGCAACUUUUUUCCCCAGACACAAAGGAAGUCCUAGCGGACACCUACGAAGAAGGACUGUGUGAGGAUGGCAUCUCAGAAGGAUGAAAGAACACAAUAUGUCUGUCAAGGAAUGCUAUUCUGAUAUGUCAGAUGAAGAGUUAGACCAGAAAGUCAGCCCCAUUAAGGCAAGGAUGCCCCAUGCGGGCUUUAAGAUGGUCAAAGGAAGUCUCAGAACAACGGGUCAUCGUGUACAACGGAGAAGAGUUAGGGAGUCUUUGCAGCGUGUAGAUGGUGCAGGUAUCAUUGCCAGAAUGAUCCAGCUUCGUUGCAUUGCUCGGCAAAAAUACUCCCUGCUCCAGUCUCUCGUCCACAUUGAUACAAAUCAUAAAUUGAUAAGAUACAACAUUGUCAUCUUUGGYGGUAUAGAUGGAUUUUCAAGGAAGGUAAAUAUUUUAUAUACAUAUUGCAUAUUUUCCAUCACCUAAUGAACAACCACAAUAUCAGUCUGGUGUUAAGCUUUCUGUGCUGUAUUGACAGAUCCUGAAAAUGAC
Salvelinus sp. IW2-2015 is the source of this 703-nucleotide long non-coding RNA. RefSeq lists it as uncharacterized. NCBI's taxonomy places the organism in Eukaryota, Metazoa, Chordata, Actinopteri, Salmoniformes, Salmonidae. The record is from RefSeq and is a predicted model, not a curated record.